RNAcentral lists this ribosomal RNA (252 nucleotides) under uncultured Sphingobacteriaceae bacterium. RNAcentral describes it as "partial 16S ribosomal RNA". It matches the Rfam family "Bacterial small subunit ribosomal RNA", at positions 526 to 777 of the family's 1533-position model. The record is from RNAcentral. Lineage: Bacteria; Pseudomonadati; Bacteroidota; Sphingobacteriia; Sphingobacteriales; Sphingobacteriaceae.
CGUAGGGUGCGAGCGUUAAUCGGAAUUACUGGGCGUAAAGCGUGCGCAGGCGGUUGUGUAAGACAGGUGUGAAAUCCCCGGGCUUAACCUGGGAACUGCGCUUGUGACUGCACGGCUAGAGUAUGGCAGAGGGGGGUGGAAUUCCACGUGUAGCAGUGAAAUGCGUAGAGAUGUGGAGGAACACCGAUGGCGAAGGCAGCCCCCUGGGCCAAUACUGACGCUCAUGCACGAAAGCGUGGGGAGCAAACAGGA